Non-coding RNA from Callorhinus ursinus (northern fur seal), 449 nucleotides. Lineage: Eukaryota; Metazoa; Chordata; Mammalia; Carnivora; Otariidae. The record is from RefSeq and is a predicted model, not a curated record.
CACCCAGACUGGGCAUCCAGAUAACUGCUAAGACGUUCCGACUGGGUAGAGGCUCCCCUGGUGAUUAAUGGGCCCACAGGCUCACUUGCUCCUCUGUGUUACCCACCUACCUUCCACUGGGAUGGAAGAUUCCGGCAGGCCGGCAAGCACGUCGCCCAAAUUUGGUGGAGCAGGGACCUGAAAAUGAUGUAUUGGACCUGCUCCUCCCGUCACCCCCCGCCCCCCAACGUAAGACUGACUGAGUCAAGUUCUCUCUCCUCUAUGGUCUCACAGCACCUCGGAUGCUCCGCGGUAAUAGGUUCUUAGUUGUUUAGAUUUCUUCAAAGAAGCAGCAAUUCUGCCUCAAGAUUCAACACAGAAAUCCUGCCUGAGUUUCCAGCCUGCCUGACUUGCCCUGUAGAUUUCAUACUCAAGACUACAAUUUCAACUCUUACCUAAAUCUCCAGCCU